ACAGAGCUGGGACCACGCUGCCGACCCGGCGGGCGCUGAAGAACGCGCGCUUGGUGAGCACCAAGGACGACGUGCACCUGUGCGUCAUGUGCCUGCGCGCCAUCAUGAACUACCAGGUAGGGGACGGCGCCGUGUCACCGUCACCACACCGGGUACGGGGACGUCACGGUGCCAUUGUCACCGCACCGGGUACGGGGAGGUCACUGCGUCACCGUGGCUGCACUGGGCAUGGGGACAGCGCUGGGCCACUGUCACCAUAGUGGGGUACAGGGAUGGCACUGUGUCAUUGUCACCAUACCGGGUGCAGGGGUGGCACUGUGUCACCAGCGCUGUGUUGGGUAUGGGGACAUCACGGUGCCAGGUGUGGGGACCUCACGGUGCCACCGUCACCAUAGUGGGUGCAGGGAUGGCACUGUGUCAUUGUCACUGCACUGGGCAUGGGGACAUCCCUGUGCCAGGUGUGGGGACAUCACAGUGGCACUGUCACCAUGCUGGGUCCAGGCCCAUGACUGUGUCACCAUCACUGCGUUGGGCAUGGGGACAGUACUGUGUCACCGUCACCAUACCGGGUGCAGGGGUGGCACUGUGUCACUGUGCCAGGUGUGGGGACAUCGCAGUGUCACCGUCACCAUAGCGGGUGCAGGGAUGUCACUGUGUCACCAGCGCUGUGUUGGGUAUGGGGACAUCGCUGUGUCACUGUCACCAUAUGGGGUACAGGGAUGUCACUGUGACAGUGUCACCGUACGGGGAUGGCACUGUGUCACUGUGCCAGGUCUGGGGACAGCGCUGUCACCGUCACCGCUCCGGGUGUCACUGUGCCACCGCCGCUAUAUUGGGCGCAGGGAGGGGUGGCACCGUGCCACCGUCCCCUGUGCUGGGUAUGGGGACAUCGUGGUGUCAGUGUCACCGUACCAGGUGCAGGGGUGUCACUGUGUCACCGCGCCGGGUACGGGGACAGCGCUGCGUCACUGUCACCGUGCUUUGGGUCCAGGGACAUGGCAGUGUCACCAGCGCUGUGCUGGGUAUGGGGACGUCACGGGGUCAGUGUCACCAUAGCAGGGACAGGGAGGUCACCGUGCCACUGUCAC
This 1088-nucleotide long non-coding RNA is filed under the name Numida meleagris (helmeted guineafowl). RNAcentral's name for it is "lncRNA (ENSNMEG00000001963.1)". The record is from RNAcentral. Lineage: Eukaryota; Metazoa; Chordata; Aves; Galliformes; Numididae.